Triticum aestivum (bread wheat) is the source of this 1710-nucleotide long non-coding RNA. RefSeq lists it as uncharacterized. The transcript has 3 exons. The record is from RefSeq and is a predicted model, not a curated record. Lineage: Eukaryota; Viridiplantae; Streptophyta; Magnoliopsida; Poales; Poaceae.
UUCCUAAAAAAUAUCUCUUCGGUUUGAGAGUACUUGGCAUCCCUCUCCCCUCGAUUCAGCGCCGCCGGAGAGGGCAUCCCAUCGCCGCUGUAAAGAUCCCGCAGGAGCAGCGCCCUGCACAGGCCAGGCUAGCUACGCCCGGAUCAAGUGCCACGCGCAGCCCUACCCCUAUAUUUAGCGGCCGAUGGUGGAUCCACAUCCCACGGCCGGAUCUGGAGCGCCGUCUAUACGACCGGACUCUCCACCAUGGGCAUUUUCCUCUUGUCCUUGGUGAUGAGCGCUCGAACCAAGAAGUGGAUUCAGGUGAGGGAGGGCAUGUGGGUUGCGGGAGCAAGGGAGGGCAGGAGGCGGGCCUGCCGGCAGCAGCUUUCUGUUCGGGGAUGCUGGAGCAUGGCCAUGAGAACCAUCGCCUCUGCUCGUACGCCGCGGUCGGCGAGCCACUAGGGACACGCCGCCGCCGGUAGACUUCUCUCACAUCUGGGCAGUGACACCUUCGCUCAAGGAUCUCCCGCCUCUAAUCUUUUUUUUCUUCUAUGAUACAUGCACAUCUUGGAGAAAUCAUGCAUCUUGUUUCCCUGUAGCAGCCAGGCGAACGGGCAAAGGAUAAAGCGUCCCUGCGAGUUCUCAAGUACUGCAGUGGUGAAAUCCUUGAGGAGUUCUACAGUUUAAUCAGUUCACACGAAAAUCUAAUAUUACCCCCAUCUGUUAUCAGCUAGCAGAAGUGUACAAUAUAAAGCAUCUCCGUAAUGUGCAGUCUGCUCCAAAGAGACCCCAGCUUGGGAUUUGAUUACCUUAGGAGCCACAAUGUUUUGCCUCCUCAAUGGACCAUGUACAACAAGGACCUCAUGUGACGCCCCAGGAACUUUGAAAAUGUGAUUAAUAUCAAAGAGGAACGAUGCGACCAUGAACUCCAACUCCACUAGCUUGAAGAACCAACACACCACAUUUUUGUGGCGCACUUGAGCUUCUCAGUUGGACUAUAGUGUCAUAUAGUCAUAUUAGUUUUAUGUAUAUUGCAAUUGUAGUGUCAUAUAGUCAUAUUAGUUGUAUGUGGUGUAGACAACCAGUACUGAAGGUUUCGUCUUUUUCUCUUUUCUUUGCUAAGCCUAUAAUUUGGAGAUUAGCACACUAAUUAAUUCCUUCAAUAGGAUGUGUUCUAUAGGUUACGACUAAGACUUUCAUAUAUGUAUGUGUAUCACUUAUUCUUGAGCAGAAUAGUAUUUUUUUUCAAGCAGAGUACAAUAGUGUUCAGAGUUAAUUAGUUGGGUAUAUACCAACAACCAAAAAAAUCUCAAUUAACUUGAAAUAACUAAACUGUUGCUCGAAUUAUACAAGAAAAAAACCAAUUAAUAUUUCCUCAAUGGCUUUUCUUUGUCGACUAUAUAAGAAUUUGCAUAAAGACAUGUUCCAAGGUACAGGUAAAAGUAUAUAAGUUUAUUUGCUUUAACAUGAAUACAUAUGCUAUUAUCCUUUUGCUAAUUCAUUUAUAUGUACUGACAUAUAAAUUAUUUAUGAUUUUAUAGAAUGGACGGUCCACCGUUAUAGAAGCAUCAUGAGGCAUUGUAGUCAUUGACAAAUAAUGAUUGCGUCCCAAGACCGAAGAUUAUGAAAAAAAAUCUUGUUUGUAGUUAGAGAUGAACAACUACAAUGGUUGUCUUGAGUGUGUUUUUGGUUCAUAAUUUCUUAACGGUAUUUUCGCUCCAGAAUUGU